UCUUGGAGAAGGUUUUCUCCAACAGCUUCAGGUACCAUAUUUGACCCUCAAAGGAAUUGUCAUCAUCAGAACUUGAAAUUUCGUCCUCCUCUGGCUCUUCUAUACAUGCAAUAGAAAUUGAUAUAAAUUUCACUUAUCAA
This is a long non-coding RNA of Telopea speciosissima, 140 nucleotides long. RefSeq lists it as uncharacterized. The record is from RefSeq and is a predicted model, not a curated record. The transcript has 3 exons. NCBI's taxonomy places the organism in Eukaryota, Viridiplantae, Streptophyta, Magnoliopsida, Proteales, Proteaceae.